This 76-nucleotide ribosomal RNA is filed under the name Desulfuromonas sp. RNAcentral's name for it is "partial 23S ribosomal RNA". It matches the Rfam family "Bacterial large subunit ribosomal RNA", at positions 2853 to 2925 of the family's 2925-position model. The record is from RNAcentral. Lineage: Bacteria; Pseudomonadati; Thermodesulfobacteriota; Desulfuromonadia; Desulfuromonadales; Desulfuromonadaceae.
UGAUAGGCCGGCGGUGUAAGCACGGUAACGUGUUCAGCUAACCGGUACUAAUUGACCGUGAGGCUUGACCAUAAAA